CCAAAGGCUCUUUUCAGAGCCACCCACUGCAUCACUGGAGAGCUG
Calypte anna (Anna's hummingbird) is the source of this 45-nucleotide non-coding RNA. The record is from Rfam. Lineage: Eukaryota; Metazoa; Chordata; Aves; Apodiformes; Trochilidae.